RNAcentral lists this ribosomal RNA (439 nucleotides) under uncultured bacterium. Its description in RNAcentral is "partial 16S ribosomal RNA". It matches the Rfam family "Bacterial small subunit ribosomal RNA", at positions 339 to 795 of the family's 1533-position model. The record is from RNAcentral.
CUACGGGGUGCUCCAGUGAGGAAUAUUGCACAAUGGGGGGAACCCUGAUGCAGCAACGCCGCGUGGAGGAUGACGCAUUUCGGUGUGUAAACUCCUUUUAUAUGCCAAGAAAAUGACGGUAGCAUAUGAAUAAGCACCGGCUAACUCCGUGCCAGCAGCCGCGGUAAUACGGAGGGUGCAAGCGUUACUCGGAAUCACUGGGCGUAAAGGACGCGUAGGCGGGUUGGAAAGUCAGGUGUGAAAUCCUACAGCUUAACUGUAGAACUGCACUUGAAACUUCUAAUCUAGAGUAUGGGAGGGGGAGAUGGAAUUAGUGGUGUAGGGGUAAAAUCCGUAGAUAUCACUAGGAAUACCUAAAGCGAAGGCGAUCUCCUGGAACAUUACUGACGCUAAGGCGUGAAAGCGUGGGGAGCGAACAGGAUUAGAUACCCGCGUAGUC